UUCGGAAAAAAUAAGUGCUCAAGUGAAGUUCUGUCGUGAAACUGAAAUUAAUUGAAGAAAAGUUGUUUCUAAUAUAAAGUGCUAAAUUUUCACAUUAGUUGUUACACACACAUACCAUGUAUAUAUAUUGUUCAACGGCAAUGCAAAUGUGUGCAGAAACAGUUGGAAAGGCAAACCUGAGGAGCUAUAACAUGGCACGAAGGCUGAAAUAAUUGCUAGUACGGGUUUCUCAAGCAUUUCUGCUCUGAACAAAGAAAAUGAAAUCAGCUCCUCGUCGUCAUCUCAGCGUGGGCACGUCAGGCAUUUUCACAUAACGGCGAAAUGGGGCCACACAAAACCAGACUUGGCGGUGCGAAAACCCAACCAAGUUUUUCAUCUUUGGCUAGAAAGUUGCACUGUAGGCAGGCUGAGGCAGAUGCCAGGCGUUUGAAUUGCUAGCCGGAGUGUGCGGAGUGUGUGUGUUGUCCUGGACUUGAGGAGUUUGGAUAGGAAGCCAGGUAUAAAACGCAGCGAAGACAGCUUGUUCUCUUGUUAUACUUGGGCGUUGAAAGUUGAUACGCGAUCGAUAGAUGUUAUAACUCGAAUGCAAUGCGUGCGAAAGGGCAUUACAACAGCUGAAAUAUGCCGUUGGUGUGGCCCCGUUAGCCGUGUGGCGAGAGUAUAUCUGAACUCAGCGACCUGUGUGUGUCGCUACCUACACACAGGGGUACUAAACAUCGUUUUUAUCAGAUUGAUUGCGUGGAUUGAAUUUAUAGGAACCUGUAUCGACUUCUCUGCUCUACUAAGACUUGUUCAAAACAAAGGCGCACAAUUACCUAUACGUUUAUAUACGGCCUUCUAUUAUUUACCUAACAUCAUCGAACCGUUAUCAAUACCGAUCCAAACAGAUAUAAACACUACUGACAUCGAUCGAUAAAGAUAUAUAUCUCGUAUCUGGAGUAGCAACUGAACGAGCCAAUCGUUAGUUCGUUUUAUGCAGCACAAUUUACAAACUAUAUUCUUGUUAUUUACUUAUUUUUUUGUUGUAAACAUAAACAUUUGCUAGUACACGACAUGUGCGACUUAAGUUCUUAAAUACCUGAAACUGUUAAACAAAAAGAAAAAAAACAAAGAAAAUAUUCUGUUUUUGUACACAACCCAAGAUUUAAGAAAAUUUGUCCAUUUAUUGUUGUAAAUAUACUUGUCCAUACCAGUUAUAGAUAAUGAAUGAAGAAUAUAAGAAAAAAAGAAUGAGCUCAUCAAUACAGAAAAGAAGCUACAAACAAAAAAGAAUAAAAGAAAUCUAAGAAGACCAAUAAAUUUCGAAACAAUUGUUCGCCAUAUUUUUAUUUUAAGCUAAAAUUCUACACAAAUUUCAGUCUUAUCAUCGUACAAAUGGAGGAAGGGCCACUCUAAAUAUCCCAUACAGGUUUAUUUACACGAAAAUUAUGCGUAUAAAAGUCUAUGAAAUUUCUAAGGUUUGAAGUUAAGGUAAACAUCGACAACAUAUAUAUAUAUAUAUAUAUAUAAAAGAGACAUUCCCUAUAAAUAUGUUAAAAUUUUUCUCUAUACGCAUUGCUUGCGAUCAUAUAAGGGAAAUAUAUGCGAAUUUGAAAAUUAUAAAUUAAGCAGGGCUUUGGUAAAUGCUAAAAUAUGCGGUAAACUGCAAAAACGGUUAAAUAUUCAAAUUUGAGACACUUCAUCAAUGGCCGUAUUAAUACAAUUUUACAGACCCAACAUUACACAAUAUUCUACAAUUUAUUCCACUUUUCUGAUUUACUUAAGAAUUUAAGUUAAGUGUCUUCAAUUUGUCUUUAAUUUUUUUUUUUUAGUUGUCUUUACUAUCAAACUAUCUUAACUAAAUAUCAAACACAGCCUGAACACAUAAAAUUUACUUCAAAUACCAAGCGGAAACUAAACAACAAGGAUUAAACACUUCCAAUCCCCAAAAGCAAUUUUUCUUCCACAACUUAUCAACAUCGGAAGUUAACUUCAAUGACAAAAGUAUCCUUUAAUGGUCAGAAUUGUCCAGCAUAAAAUGGAACAUCCCAUCCGAUUAUCUGUUUACAUUUCAACCUGGAAAUUUCCAUCAAAGAAUUAGUACAUUUUCAAACUCGUCUCAAAUUGCACCAUCUGAAACAAUGGAAACUUCGUCAGCCCAGGCAUAAAUCUACCUCAAUGCACCACAUUCAAUUCAAGCAAAUACUUCUCAAAUAUUAAUGUGCCAACCAAGUAUACAUCCACAAAAUUCGUCUGCUUCUCAACUUCUCCAUCUACAAGCAUCUCAAUAUCGUCUACUUCCCCAACUGCUCCAUCUACAAGCAACUCAAUCUUUUACUUCCUCAACUGCUCCUCCAUCUACAAGCAACUCAACACAGCUGACACCUUUAAAAUUUAUCAGACACUAUUUUAAGUUCGAUUUUCAACAAUUUCAAAAUAUUUUUUCAACGUUCUUUGUCGUUCGACAAAUUUUUACUAUUUAUAUAUAUCUGAGCCGUGAUUACAACCAAAUAUUAAAUUAAAUUUGUCAAACACAUUACGAAACGUUCUACUGACACCACGUUGUCUUAAACAUCCUUAUAAAACUGCGUCCAAUACAAAUUAUAAAUUAUUAAGCAUACGAAAAAGUGAAAACAGAAAUUUCCCUGCGAUUACAAAAAGAGCGUAAAAACACACGAAAACUGCGAAGAAUUUAAGAAAGUGGAGUGUAUGGUUAAGAGUGUGAAAACAUAGAAAUUUCCCUAAUAGGUAGGUCAUACACAAACCCCGAUUACAACCCAAAUUUAAAACAUACAAGAGCGUAAAAACACACGAAAACUGCGAUGAAUUUAAGAAAGUGGAAUGUUUAGUUAAGAGUGUGAAAACAUAGAAAUUUCCCUAAUAGGUAGGACAUACACAAACUGCGAUGAAUUUGAGAGAAUGGAGUAUUCGGUUAAGAGUGUGAGGACAUAGAAAUUUCCUUUUUAGGUAGGACAUAAACAAACCCCGAUUACAACCCAAAUUUAAAACAUACAAGAGCGUAAAAACACACGAAAACUGCGAUGAAUUUAUGAAAGUGGAGUGUUUGGUUAAGAGUGUGAAGACAUAGAAAUUUCCCUAAUAGGUAGGACAUACACAAACUGCGAAGAAUUUGAAGAAAGUGGAGUGUUUGGUUAAGAGUGUGAAAACAUAGAAAUUUCCCUAAUAGGUAGGUCAUACACAAACCCCGAUUACAACCCAAAUUUAAAACAUACAAGAGCGUUAAAACGUACACGAAAACUGCGAUGAAUUUGAGAGAAUGGAGUGUUUGGUUAAGAGUGUGAAGACAGAAAUUUCCCUAAUAGGUAGGUCAUACACAAACCCCGAUUACAACCCAAAUUUAAAACAUACAAGAGCGUAAAAACACACGAAAACUGCGAUGAAUUUAAGAAAGUGGAGUGUUUGGUUAAGAGUGUGAAAACAUAGAAAUUUCUCCAUUAGGUAGGACAUAAACAAACCCCGAUUACAACCCAAAUUUAAAACAUACAAGAGCGUAAAAAGACA
RNAcentral lists this small RNA (3501 nucleotides) under Drosophila virilis. Its description in RNAcentral is "GJ26899". The stretch from base 716 to 799 matches the Rfam family "Heat shock gene hsromega conserved region 2". The record is from RNAcentral. Lineage: Eukaryota; Metazoa; Arthropoda; Insecta; Diptera; Drosophilidae.